Molecule: ribosomal RNA, 460 nt
Filed under: uncultured bacterium
Lineage: Bacteria
Description: partial 16S ribosomal RNA
Rfam family: Bacterial small subunit ribosomal RNA
Source: RNAcentral
CCUACGGGAGGCAGCAGUGAGGAAUAUUGGUCAAUGGCCGGAAGGCUGAACCAGCCAUGCCGCGUGAAGGUCAGUGCCCUAUGGGCGUUAAACUUCUUUUGUGCGGGAGCAAUAAUGGUCACGUGUGGCCAGACGAGAGUACCGUACGAAUAAGCAUCGGCUAACUCCGUGCCAGCAUGCGCGCUAAUACGGGGGGUGCAAGCGUUGUCCGGAGUUAUUGGGUUUAAAGGGUGCGUAGGCUGUGAGGGAAGUCAGCGGUGAAAUGCCCCCGCGCAACGGGGUGAAGUGCCAUUGAUACUGCCUGGCUGGAAUGCGGAUGCGGUAGGAGGAAUGUGUGGUGUAGCGGUGAAAUGCAUAGAUAUCACACAGAACACCGAUUGCGAAGGCAUCUCACGAAUCCGCGAUUGACGCUGAUGCACGAAAGCGUGGGUAUCAAACAGGAUUAGAUACCCGAGUAGUC